GACGAACGCUGGCGGCGUGCUUAACACAUGCAAGUCGAACGAUGAAGGGGAGCUUGCUCCUUGGAUUAGUGGCGAACGGGUGAGUAACACGUGAGUAACCUGCCCUGGACUCUGGGAUAAGCGCUGGAAACGGUGUCUAAUACCGGAUAGGACCUGGAACCGCAUGGUUUUGGGUGGUAAGAUUUUUUGGUUUGGGAUGGACUCGCGGCCUAUCAGCUUGUUGGUGAGGUAAUGGUUCACCAAGGCGUCGACGGGUAGCCGGCCUGAGAGGGCGACCGGCCACACUGGGACUGAGACACGGCCCAGACUCCUACGGGAGGCAGCAGUGGGGAGUAUUGCACAAUGGACGCAAGUCUGGUGCGGCGACGCCGUGUGAGGGAUGACGGCCUUCGGGUUGUAAACCUCUUUCGUCAGGGACGAAGCCGUGAGGUGACGGUACCUGGAGAAGAAGCGCCGGCCAACUACGUGCCAGCAGCCGCGGUAAGACGUAGGGCGCGAGCGUUGUCCGGAUUUAUUGGGCGUAAAGAGCUCGUAGGCGGCUCAUUGCGUCAACCGUGAAAACCAGCAGCUCAACUGUUGGCCUGCGGUUGAUACGGGUGGGCUGGAGUUCGGUAGGGGAGACUGGAAUUCCUGGUGUGGCGGUGAAAUGCGCAGAUAUCAGGAGGAACACCGGUGGCGAAGGCGGGUCUCUGGGCCGAUACUGACGCUGAAGAGCGAAAGCGUGGGGAGCGAACAGGAUUAGAUACCCUGGUAGUCCACGCUGUAAACGUUGGGCGCUAGGUGUGGG
This 787-nucleotide ribosomal RNA is filed under the name uncultured Actinomycetes bacterium. RNAcentral describes it as "bacterial SSU rRNA". It matches the Rfam family "Bacterial small subunit ribosomal RNA", at positions 28 to 826 of the family's 1533-position model. Lineage: Bacteria; Bacillati; Actinomycetota; Actinomycetes. The record is from RNAcentral.